This 1944-nucleotide ribosomal RNA is filed under the name Triticum aestivum (bread wheat). RNAcentral describes it as "partial small subunit ribosomal RNA". The record is from RNAcentral. Lineage: Eukaryota; Viridiplantae; Streptophyta; Magnoliopsida; Poales; Poaceae.
AUGAAUAACGGUUACGCGGGUAUGCGUCACCGUGGAAGCCAGCCCCUGAUGGACAGCUCUGCGGUGUUGAUGUCCGGGAGCUACACUACUGUCGGCCAUGGUCAGACCUCAUUUUCCUUGGACUUCCGGGGUUCGGCAAUGGACAACUGCAGCCGUGGCAACAGGGGUGUCCAGCGGUCUGGUCAUGCUUCUGCGCAAGAUGAUGCGUGCAGACUGGUCCUUGGACUGGGUCCGUCGCCGGAACCUAGCUCUGUGGAUUACCAGCAGCCUGCAGGAGGAGCAGGCAAGUCGAAAGCGCCGGUGACUCUGUUUGGCCGGAGUUUAUCGUUCACUAAUCCUGGGACGAUGACCCUUGGGCUUCAUGAUCGGGUGGGUAAUGCUGAAGCUAUCGCUCAGCAUUCUGAACCGCCUGGAGGAAACAUCAUCUCCUUCUCCGGUGUCGACGAGAGCUCGACGUCGGCCAGGAGGAGCUCCGGUGGCUACAUUCCGUCGCUGCUCUUCGCAUCUCGGCCGAAUCUUUGUGUUGCUCAAGAGAAUCGGGCAGAGGCGCAUGAUGAUCUGCUCGAUGACCACACGGACAACGCCAAUGAUAGUGCCGAGCAUCACCUUCAAUUCAGCCCUGAACCUUCUGCAACGACAAUGACAGAUACUUCGUUCGGUGUGAGCUCUGAUGUUGUCACCGGUGUAACUGAUCGUGGACAGCCGGUUCAUCGCCGGUUUCCGAAGAAGUGCAGGUUCAAAGGGUGCUCUAAAGGUGCGAGAGGUGCAUCAGGCCUGUGCAUUGCCCAUGGCGGCGGGCAGAGGUGCCAGAAGCCCGGGUGCUACAAGGGUGCCGAGAGCCGAACGGCCUACUGCAAGGCCCAUGGAGGCGGCCGGCGGUGUAUGCAGCUCGGCUGCACUAAGAGCGCCGAGGGAAAGACGGAUCACUGCAUUGCCCACGGCGGAGGUCGCCGGUGCGGAUACAACAGCUGCCCUAAAGCCGCGCGUGGCAAGUCCGGGCGAUGCAUCAAGCACGGAGGAGGGAAGCGGUGCGCGGUCGAGGGCUGCAUCCGGAGCGCCGAGGGGAAGGUCGGGUUCUGCAUCUCCCACGGCGGCGGCCGCCGUUGCCAGUACCCGGACUGCCGCAAGGGGGCGCAGGGCAGCACGCUGUACUGCAAGUCCCACGGCGGCGGCAAGAGGUGCGUCUUCGAGGGCUGCGCCAAGGGCGCGGAGGGCAGCACGCCGCUGUGCAAGGCGCACGGCGGCGGGAAGCGCUGCAUGCACGAAGGCGGCGGCGUGUGCCCCAAGAGCGUCCACGGGGGCACCAGCUACUGCGUGGCGCACGGCGGCGGGAAGCGCUGCGCGGUGCCCGGGUGCGGCAAGAGCGCCCGCGGGCGCACAGAGUUCUGCGUGAAGCACGGCGGCGGCAAACGGUGCAAGGUCGACAGCUGCGGCAAGAGCGCGCAGGGGAGUACGGAGUUCUGCAAGGCCCACGGCGGCGGCAAGCGGUGCACCUUCGGCACGGGCUGCGACAAGUUCGCCCGCGGGCGGAGCGGCCUCUGCGCCGCCCACGCGACGCUGGUGGCCUCGCAGUCCCAGUCCCAGGCACAGCAGCGAGGACGCGGCGGCUGGAGCAUGAUCGGGCCGGGCCUCUUCCGAGGCAUCGUGUCCUCGUCAGCCGCGGCCGCAGCCGCCAGCGCCAUGAACUACGAGUACUCGUCGGGCGUGAGCACGGUGUCGGAGUGCGACGGCUCGCCGGUGCCUACGCCGGGGAGGCAGGAGCUGAUUCCUCCUCAGGUGCUGGUUCCCCUCUCUAUGAAGUCCUCGUCGCCAUCCGCGGAUAGGCGCAGGGAGAGUGGAGAGUUGUGUGUUCCAGAGGGGAGGGUGCACGGGGGUGGACUUCUGUCAUUGCUCGGCGGGAGCUUCAGGAACAUCAUUGACGUCGACAAACUCUCAAGCCGCUAG